This 255-nucleotide ribosomal RNA is filed under the name uncultured bacterium. RNAcentral's name for it is "partial 16S ribosomal RNA". It matches the Rfam family "Bacterial small subunit ribosomal RNA", at positions 99 to 354 of the family's 1533-position model. The record is from RNAcentral.
CGGACGGGUGAGUAACGCGUGGAUAACCUGCCUUACACUGGGGGAUAACACUUAGAAAUAGGUGCUAAUACCGCAUAAGCGCACAGCCCCGCAUGGGGGAGUGUGAAAAACUCCGGUGGUGUAAGAUGGAUCCGCGUCUGAUUAGCUAGUUGGCAGGGUAACGGCCUACCAAGGCAGCGAUCAGUAGCCGGCCUGAGAGGGUGGACGGCCACAUUGGGACUGAGACACGGCCCAGACUCCUACGGGAGGCAGCAG